This is a long non-coding RNA of Hemicordylus capensis (graceful crag lizard), 374 nucleotides long. RefSeq lists it as uncharacterized. Lineage: Eukaryota; Metazoa; Chordata; Lepidosauria; Squamata; Cordylidae. The record is from RefSeq and is a predicted model, not a curated record. The transcript has 2 exons.
AGCCAUUUGUAUGAUUGUGCUGACCAGACAAAUGGCUAGAAGACUACACAAGAGGCAAUAAGAGCACCAUUUCUGAGUGCUUGGAACAUUUCAAGUGCUCCAACUCAGAAUGCAGUUGUUCUAUUCUGAGCUUGGAAGAGGCCCUUCAUUUGAAGGGCAUUCCAUUCCAAGCUUGAAACACUUGAAGCGGCCCAGUUCAUGAAUGAGCGAGGGGAUGAACAAUCGUGGGACUCCAUAUGGUAAAACUCUGGAAGACUCCAAAUCGUAGCUCUACACAGGUGCAAAACCCAGAUAUGUGAUGCGCAAAGACCCUGAUGAAGAAAUAUGUUUAUUAAUUUGUAUACAGUCCUAAUGUGAAUAAAUUAGGAACUAUG